RNAcentral lists this long non-coding RNA (7669 nucleotides) under Malus domestica (apple). RNAcentral's name for it is "long non-coding RNA (MDOM_LNC007563)". Lineage: Eukaryota; Viridiplantae; Streptophyta; Magnoliopsida; Rosales; Rosaceae. The record is from RNAcentral.
AAUCCAAGUUCAUCUUCCUUAUUCAAAUAUUAGCAGUAAUCUUUGAAUCAUCCUUGAAGUGUAGUGUGUGAGAUAGCCAUGCUAAUGCAAUUUCAAGUUUUUAUUUUUAAAAUCAUCAUAUGCAAACUAGUAACAUUCUCACGGGAUAUACACUCAAUCACAUAUGUGUUUAGUUUUAAUGUGUUUCGCUCAAAGAAUCAAAUGUGAAAUUUCUACCAUAAGCCUGCAUAAAGAUCACUUCUCCACAGUCAUAAUUGCAAAACUUAAAUCAAGAGGACUUUUAUUGGACGUAAUGAGGUUUAGGGAGAGGGUUAUUGAAAUGAAAGAAUAGGUAAACACAAGUUCCAAGCUACAUUGCAAGCAAUUCUUUUGUUUAGAUUUAUAAGAACUCAAUAUUUCCCAGCGAUUCUUCUAGCACCUCCAACCACACCCUUAAAAACUGAAACUUUAAAAACUUUUUUAUUUUCUUUGUAUACAAUUUUUUUUUUUCUUUAAAUACAAACAUGAAAUACCCCCACACUUAUUCUUUUGCCAAACACCUUCAAAGUACUUCACAAACAUUUCUCAUAAGACAAUCUCACAUUGCUCACUAGCUUGCUUGGAAAGGGUAAGGAAGAAUGUUUCAGGUAUAAGGGUAGACAUAUCUGGUGGUAAGAAAUAAAAGGCUCAACAUACACGGCUCAAAUUGGCAAUCUAAUGAUAUCAUUUUUAUUUGGGAAACAUGGUUAUUUGGGCCAUAGUGGUAAACCUAAUGCCUCUAUCAUUUCCAAGUUCAUGCAAUCAAUGACAAACAUUUCGAAAGAUCGUUACGCAAGUUCUAGAGAUGUAUCUCACAUAAGUUCAUCACACAUGAAAGAAUAAGAGUGUAUGAAAAAUGCACACACUUUCAAUAGGCUCAAAAACUCACAUAGGAUGUAUAUGGUCUCUAAAUUCACAUAUGACGCUUUAAUUCAUACUUUAGUUUCACAUUAACAAGGCUAUGUGCAUUUGGUUUUUCAAAGAUGGUCAAACAUGUACAAAACUAACAAGAGAAUAAGGAAUUUCACAAAACACAUGUUAACUAAGUUCUUGAUGAUCAUGGUUCGAAUUUGAUCCAAUUAUAUCAUUGGGUCGGGAAACUAACAAAAAUCUAAUUCAAAACAAUAAGGGAAACAAGACAAUAUUUUUGGAUUUUUAAAUUUUCCGAUUUUUUUUAUUUUUUAUUUUUAAAGAAAACAAAAAGCAACAACACAGAAACAAAUGAAAUUCUAGAGAUUUCUACCCCCACACUUAAACUUGACAUUGUCCCCAAUGUCAGAAAACACUAUAACGCAAAUAAAAAUAAAAUAAAAUAAAAUAAAUAAUAAGAAACAAAAUAAAGCAAUUGGACUGAAAACUUCCCUAAUUUGCAGUAAAAUCAAGCGAUGACCCCCAAGCUAAAAUUCUGCAAUCAACUUCAAGGGUGGAAAUAACCAAAAGUUCCUGCAAAGAAAAGAAAUAAUUCAGUUAAGUAACGCAAGAAAAUAAAAUAAUAAUAAAAAAUAAAUAAAAAAAAUUGCAAACGAAAAAUUGAAAAUCACGAUAAAAGACAAUGAAUAGAACUAAUAAGUAAUCAUUGGUCGUGUUUGUUGACUUUCCACAGCUUUCCUCUUGAACGGGGUGACACUUAGCUUUUUACUUGCAAGUGAUGAUUUGAUGAUAUUGUACGGCGAAGCUUUGCUCUUUGGUGAUGUUGCAGUUCCUUAUUUGUUCUCCAAGCAGAUGUGGCAGCUUCUCUAGUUUUCAGCUCGGACUCCUUCCGCUGGGAUGAUUGUGCAAGCUGCAUUCUUCUCUGCUUGUUUCUUCUGUACGUUGUCUCCACAUGCUGCUGGUAUCAUUUUCGCUUGCCUUAUCUGUUCUUCAGGUAGAUGUGGCAGCUUCUUUGGAAGUACAUCAGCAGUGGAAGACGAGUACUCGAGAGCAAUUUUCUCCAUGUCCUGCAGGUUAGAACAAAGACAAGGAAAAGGACAUGGAGAAUGCAUGAUAUGAGAUACUCUUGCUUUCAACCUUUAUGAUAUGAAAUACUUUUGCUCUGGAUGGGUUGUUUGCAGGGGUAUCCCAGGGAAUGAGGAAUACAGUGUGACUCGAGAGGGUUCUUUGGGAAUGCAUUCUCGGAGAUGAAGAAGUGCUGAGAGGGUGUGCCUUUGCUGUGGAAGGCGAAGGUAAAUACUUAUAGGACUUUUCUUCACAACCGGAACUAUUCUCUCACUCAUUGUCGGCAGCCGGUGGAUGGAUGAAUAGUACAAAUUACGCGCUUUCUGACAAAGCUGCCCGUAAUUUCCGCAAAGCUGCCAGUUGCAUGUGACGAGUGACGACACGUCUGGACAAAUUGAUCUUUUGAAAUCCGGGGUUCGGCUCGUGGUUUCUGAGCAAGCCCAUUUUUUUGAGAAAUGAAACGCCUCUUUUGAGAAAAGAAUCCAGCUUUUGAGAAAGGAGCCCCGACUCUUCGAUUCGCGAGAGGACGCUUCAUCGAUUUCUGAGGAGCGCCUCUUUGAUUUCUUCUUUUUAUAGAGGCGUUAAUUUUGUUCCACAACACACUUGAGCUCCCUCUUGUAAACACUCCCUUCUUGCACUUGUUUAAUCUUGAUCAUUCCGACUCUCUUCUUUCUUCACUACCUCUGAAAAAUGUCUGGCCCUUCUGAUCGUCGUUUUGACUUGAACAUUGGUGAAGAGGCAGCUCCGCCUUCACCAGACAACAUAUGGCGGCCAUCCUUCAUAUCCCCUACCGAUCCUCUUACUGUUGGGGAUUCGGUGAUGAAAAAUGACAUGACCGCUGCGGUGGUGGCCCGGAACCUUGUCACCCCCCGUGAUAACAGACUACUCGCUAGACGGUCUGAUGAAUUGGCGGUUAAGGAGUCUCUAGCUCUUAGCGUGCAGUGUGCGGGCUCUGUGUCCAACAUGGCCCAACGCCUAUUUGCUCGAACCCGUCACGUCGAAUCGUUGGUGGCUGAAAUACAGAGUCUCAAAGAGGAGAUUAGAGGACUCAAGCAUGAAAAUAAACAAUUGCACAAGCUUGCACACAAUUAUGCCACAAACAUGAAGAGGAAAAUUGACCAGCUGCAGGAAAAUGAUGGUCAGAUUUUACUUGAUCACCGGAGGUUUGUGGGUUUGUUCCAACCGCAUCUGCCUUCGUCUUCUGGGGCGGCACCGCGUAGUGAAGCUCCAACUGAUCAACCUCCGAUACCUCCUCCUUCCGUGGCCCCGCCGACUGCUGAAGCUCCGCCGACUACUGAAGCACCACCUGACCAAUGAAUGCUGUUAGUUUACACAUCAUUGUAAAAUAUUUUUACUUUUAUGUGUUUUUUUAGGUGUGUUUUUUUGUUUUUUUUUUUUUUUUUUUUUUUUUUUUUUGUUUUUUUUUUUUUUUUAUUUAUCAAUGUAAAAUAUGUAAAUCAAUAUAAAAAGACUUUGUUUAACCUUCCCCCACACUUAAACUAAAUAACACAAACUCACAGAAAUCAACCAAAUAACACAACUAACUGAAUAAAACAAAAUGAAAGCAGUAAAGAUAAGGGUGUAAGAAUGCAAAUCUGAUUUGGUUAGCGAUUCCGAAGUCUCCCUUCGUUGAAUGCUUGGGUUGCCUCCCAAGAAGCGCUUGAUUUAACGUCUUUAGCCGGACGAAUCUUUCCUUUAAACUCCCCUCGGCUCCAAAGCAUGGAAUUUAUCUUUUAAUGGGAGGUGAUACUUGAAAUGAUUCGGCAAUGGUUUAAAUUCAAGAGUGGGUGCCUGAAUCAUCAAAAUCAGAAAAAUGUUAGUAUAAAUAAAAAUUAAAAUUGGAGAAGAUGGCUUACUUUCUUUUUCUGACAUAAACUCAAUGACAAACACCACAUUUUUGAACAUUUCCGGGACUUUGAACUUGGCCAGGUUUACUAUGAUGGUUGUGGCUUGUCCCGGGUCAUCAAACUCAACUGCUUUGGCCUUGAUUGUCUCAUGCACAGCCCCUUGGAUGAAUUCUUGAUCUGCUUCAACCACUUCAUUCUCUUGAAUCGUUCUUCUUGGGAAACAAAGGCCUUUGAAAUAUUCAACACGAUCUAGAACUUGCUUUGUUGCACCAAGAAUUGGAAUAUCCUUUUGUACCUUUGGAAGAGCUUCCACAAUGUCUUUUUCACUCUCUUCUUGUUUGGGAAUCAAAAACCUGCUAGGAAAAAGGACAUUGGGAGGAAUAUCAUUAGAAUGAAGUGAAUUUAGAACUUCCUCACCUGAGUUGGAUGACAUAGGGAUUUGAGGAGCUUGCAGCAAGAAUUCUUCUAAACUGCCCAAGUCGUCCUCCUCCUCUUCUGCUUGCAGCAGCAAUUCAUCCAUGUUGGGGAUGUGUUUGGAUGGUUCUGGUACAGCUUCAUCCUCCCUGUCACCUUCCAAGGUGAUGGCUUCAUCGAUUUCAACUUCUGCUUUUGAAUUUGCAAUGUUUGAGUUGGAAAGUUCACUUUGAUCUCGAAUCUGAGCCAUGAAUUCCACAAUCUGCCCAACUUGCAUCUCCAAUUCGUCCACUCUUUUGACUCGGUCUUGCAUCUCCUGGUUUUGAUUUUCUACUCCCUGAUUCAAAGAGGUGAGUAACUUAUUAAGUGUAUCAUUAUCCAAGGAUGUACCUGAAUUGAAUUGGGUUGAUUGUUGUGGUGGCUGUGACGGUUCAUAUGGCCACUGAUAGAACUCUUCCGAUGGCGGCAAUUGUUCUUCUUUUUGUGAACCCUGCGCCAAAGAAAUUAGUCCUUCAAGAAUUUCAUUAUAAUUCAUGGGCAUACUUUGAUUUGAUUGGAAUUGUUGUGGGGGAUGCUGUGGUGGCUGCAUAGGUCUUGAAUAGAACUCGUCUUGCUGCCAAUAUCCACCUUGUUGAAAUUGUUGAGGUUCAUCCCACAUAUAAUCUGAAUUACCUCUCCAAUCUGAAUUGCAAGCGUUGGAAAACAUGUUGCCCCUUGAUUGGUUAUAGCCUUGAUAUCCCCAAACAUCUUCAUUGGCAUAACAUUGAGGACUUUGAUAUUCUUGCCCAUAGAGCACAUCAAGUGUAGGGACACUUGGCAUUGUGGUCCGUUCGGCAUUAUGAGUCAAUUGAGCAGUGAGCUGUGCCAAUUGAGCUUGAAUGGUCGCAAGUGCCAUGUCUUGCUCCAUUUGUACCUAAAAUCAAAGAAAGAAAAAUAAAUCAAAUAUCAAAAGUAAAAUACACAAACACCAAUAUAAGCAUAAACAAAAACAAAAAUAAAGGGAUUAGCAAAGUUGCUAAUCCCCGGCAACGGCGCCAAAAUUUGAUGUGAGAAUUUCUUGACACACAAAUUAAACCCUCUUUUUGACAAUUGUAGUAUAGAUGUAAGUAGGGUAUCGUUCUAGGCCGGGGAUUAGGAGGGAUUGCUAAUCUAUUCUAAAUUAAUUUAAAAAUAUUAAACAAGACUCAAGGACACAAAACUAGGCUAAAAACUCUAAUAACUCGAAACACACUUAGGAUGACUCAAAAUAAUGAAAAUAAUCAAAUUAGACACUAGGAACUGCAAUGGACGGAAAUUGAAUUAAAAGACUAACAACAAUGAAAACUAACUAAAUAAUAUAAUUUAAUAAUGGGGGGGUUUGGUUUUGACGAGAAGUAAAUUAAACUUAAAUAAAUUACAGAAUUGACAAAAACGAAAUUAAGGUGAAAGGAUAAAUGAUGGACUAGUUAGAGGGUUUUUCUCCACACAUGACACAUAUGCAACCUAAAUUGAUUUUCAGUUGUUCUUUCAAUAAGUUGUGAAUUUCAACACUUCAGAUUAACCGUGAAUAGCACUUUUUUAAUCUUCAAGUUUUCCUUAAGUUAUUGAAUUGGACGGGAAAACGCAUACAACAAUUCAAAACAUUCUUCAAAAGUCCCCUACGUGAAAAGCACAAUAGAGAUACAAUCAAAGAUCAUUAAACUUUGUGAAAACUAUAAGCAUUGACGAGGCAUUCGUAACUACGAAAAGCAUGAUACUCUUGCCAAGAAUUUACUUAACACGAUUGUGGAUAGCAACCUUCACUACUUGUGAAUAUAAGUUCAUAACGAUUAGGUGAAAUUCACUUAUAUUCUAGCAUCAAAUUCAUGCAUGUAAAUUAAGUAUGCAUCCUUAAUCGACAUACAAAAAUAAGUUAUCAAUCAAGCAGUUAAGCAAAUUAAAUCACAACUCAGAGAUCACAACUGAAGGUAAUCAAUUCAUAUUACAAAUAUAUUCAUGGUUUCGAAUUAACCUCUAACCAAAAUAAAUUUAAUUACACAUUAUUAAAACAGAAAUAAAAUAUAAGUUUGGAAAGAUUAAACCGAAAGAAGAUGAUAUGCUGCUUCUGUCACUAGCUGCCAGGCACUGGAGCUUCGCCCUGUCAGUCCUCACAUUUCCUUUCUUUUCUGCACGUUCUCACCUUCUGACCGUCCUCACUUCUGCUGCCCCUGAUCUCUCCUUCCUGCUGUUAUUUUAUUCUUCCCUUUUUUUUCUUCCAGCUCACGCUGUCUCUCUCUACAUAGCUGCCAACGCAGCCUUUCUCCCGCGUCUCACACGCCUCUCUAUCCUCUCUGACCCCGUGCUGCCAAAGGCAGCUCCAUCUCUCCCCCCCAAUUGCGUCUCUGCGAGCUGCUUUCUCCUCUCUAUCUUAUUAUUUUAUUUCCCACUUUUCCAAGUCUUCUCUGUCUCCCGCCUCUAUCCCUUUCACGCCUUGGAUUCUCCUUUUUCUUCUUCUUUCGUAUAUCUUUCUUUGGAUCCCUCAUUUCCUGAUUAUUUCUCCCCCGUAUGCCUUUGCUUUCCAUUCUUUUAUUCCCUUUUUCCAGCUGCCCUUGGAUUCUUUCACCGUUCUUUUCUGCUCUGACUCCUUCACGUGUCCAGCUCCUUCUUUCUUUUAUUCUUUUCACCCUCCCGUGUGGACUCACUUCUCUCCCACAUCAGUCCUCUCUUGGAUUCCCUUUUCUUUAGCUUUCUUUAUUUUUAUUUUUUUUCAUUUCUUUUCUUUAUUCUUUCUACAAAACAUAAAUAUGAUGAUGUUUCACAAAAAUAACGUAAAUAGCUCAAAAAUAUAAGGAACUAACUAAGAAAAGACGAGUGAAUUCGAAGUAAAAAUAUAUAUAAAUAUGAUCCGAUCAAAUACCCCCACACUUAACUUUUGCUAGUCCUCGAGCAAAACAAAGAAAAUAAGAACAAGAAGUAACAAGAAAAACAUUAGCUUCCUUCUAUGUGACCCUCAUAGAAAUUCAUUUAAGAAAACAAAUCAUCAAGAACCAUAGCUAGCAUCAAGGAACUAAUCCAAGUUCAUCUUCCUUAUUCAAAUAUUAGCAGUAAUCUUUGAAUCAUCCUUGAAGUGUAGUGUGUGAGAUAGCCAUGCUAAUGCAAUUUCAAGUUUUUAUUUUUAAAAUCAUCAUAUGCAAACUAGUAACAUUCUCACGGGAUAUACACUCAAUCACAUAUGUGUUUAGUUUUAAUGUGUUUCGCUCAAAGAAUCAAAUGUGAAAUUUCUACCAUAAGCUUGCAUAAAGAUCACUUCUCCACAGUCAGAAUUGCAAAACUUAAAUCAAGAGGACUUUUAUUGGACGUAAUGAGGUUUAGGGAGAGGGUUAUUGAAAUGAAAGAAUAGGUAAACACAAGUUCCAAGCUACAUUGCAAGCAAUUCUUUUGUUUAGAUUUAUAAGAACUCAAUAUUUCCAGCGAUUCUUCUAGCACCUCCAACCACA